GAUGAACGCUGGCGGCGUGCCUAAUACAUGCAAGUCGAGCGAACAGACGAGGGUCUUGCUCCUCUGACGUUAGCGGCGGACGGGUGAGUAACACGUGGGUAACCUACCUAUAAUCCUGGGCGAACUACGGCAACCCGGAGCUAAUACCUGCUAAUAUUUUUACCCGCAUGGUUCACUAGUGAAAGACGGGUUUUCUGUCACUUAUAGAUGGAUCCGCGCGGCAUUAGCUAGUUGGGAAGGUAACGGCUUACCAAGGCGACGAUGCGUAGCCGACCUGAGAGGGGGAUCGGCCACACCGGAACGGAAACGAGGUCCAGACUCCUACGCGAGGCAGCAGUAGAGAAAGUUACGCAAUGGGCGAAAGCCUGACGGAGCAACGCCGCGUGAGGGAUAAGGGGCUUCGGAUCGGAAAUCUCUGUUAUUAGGGAAGAGCAAAUGUGUAAGUAACUAUGCACGUCUUGACGGUACCUAAUCAGAAAGCCACGGCUAACUACGUG
RNAcentral lists this ribosomal RNA (497 nucleotides) under uncultured bacterium. Its description in RNAcentral is "partial 16S ribosomal RNA". It matches the Rfam family "Bacterial small subunit ribosomal RNA", at positions 28 to 507 of the family's 1533-position model. The record is from RNAcentral.